This 152-nucleotide small nuclear RNA is filed under the name Microtus ochrogaster (prairie vole). RNAcentral's name for it is "U1 spliceosomal RNA (ENSMOCG00000011280.1)". It matches the Rfam family "U1 spliceosomal RNA". From Rfam's summary of the family: U1 is a small nuclear RNA (snRNA) component of the spliceosome (involved in pre-mRNA splicing). Its 5' end forms complementary base pairs with the 5' splice junction, thus defining the 5' donor site of an intron. There are significant differences in sequence and secondary structure between metazoan and yeast U1 snRNAs, the latter being much longer (568 nucleotides as compared to 164 nucleotides in human). Lineage: Eukaryota; Metazoa; Chordata; Mammalia; Rodentia; Cricetidae. The record is from RNAcentral.
AUACUUAGCUGGCAGGGUAAGUGCCAUGAUCACAAAGCUGGUUUUCCCAGGCCAGGAUUGUCCUUUGUGCUCCAGAUGUAUUGAACCCAAAUUCAAGAAAUUUGACUAUAUAAUUUGUGAUAGUUGAGGGAUUGAGUUUAAGCUCCCCCCAG